RNAcentral lists this ribosomal RNA (478 nucleotides) under uncultured bacterium. RNAcentral's name for it is "partial 16S ribosomal RNA". It matches the Rfam family "Bacterial small subunit ribosomal RNA", at positions 28 to 507 of the family's 1533-position model. The record is from RNAcentral.
GAUGAACGCUGGCGGCGUGCCUAACACAUGCAAGUCGAACGGAGUCCAGCCUUUAAGACCUUCGGGUCAAAGAGGGGAAGACUGAGUGGCGGACGGGUGAGUAACACGUGGGCAACCUGGCUCAUAGAGGGGGAUAACAGAGAGAAAUUUCUGCUAAUACCGCAUAAGCACACACUGCCGCAUGGCAGAGGGUGAAAAGAGAAUCGCUAUGAGAUGGACCCGCGUCUGAUUAGCCAGUUGGCAGGGUAAGAGCCUACCAAAGCGACGAUCAGUAGCCGAUCUGAGAGGAUGAGCGGCCACAUUGGGACUGAGACACGGCCCAAACUCCUACGGGAGGCAGCAGUGGGGGAUAUUGCACAAUGGGGGGAACCCUGAUGCAGCGACGCCGCGUGAGUGAAGAAGUAUUUCGGUAUGUAAAGCUCUAUCAGCAGGGAAGAUAAUGACAGUACCUGAAUAAGAAGCCCCGGCUAACUACGUG